RNAcentral lists this long non-coding RNA (302 nucleotides) under Citrus maxima (pomelo). RNAcentral's name for it is "long non-coding RNA (CMAX_LNC001406)". The record is from RNAcentral. Lineage: Eukaryota; Viridiplantae; Streptophyta; Magnoliopsida; Sapindales; Rutaceae.
CUGUAUCUCAAUAUCUGUUUGUAUCUCAUAUCUGUAUCUCUGUAAUCAUCAUACCGCAUGCAUAUGCCCCCAAAAGGCAAAAGCGCCCAAACACACGGCUCGAAGCCUCUAUGUGUGUUCAGACGGGCCCCAAAGGCCUCUCAUCUCAUCUCAUCUGUAUCAUUGUAUCUGGAGGGAAGGGUACUGUCUAAUGAUUUCAAAAACAAUCAUUAUACUCAUAUUCACAUACCUCUUAACCAUAUUUUAAAUCAUACCACAUUUGAAUCCACUUUUCUUAUCUUUAAAAUACUAUCAUGCUUAUU